AGCGAAAUUUAGUAGCGAAGUAGCUGAUUUCACACUGUCAAGAAAAGUCUCUAUCGAGGUUAAAGGUACCCGUACCGCAAACCGACACAGGGGGGUGAGGAGAGUAUCCUAAGGCCAGCGAGAGAACGGUUGUUAAGGAACUCGGCAAAAUGACCCCGUAACUUAGGGAUAAGGGGUGCCACCAUCAGGUGGCCGCAGAGAAUAGGCCCAAGCGACUGU
Molecule: ribosomal RNA, 219 nt
Filed under: Clostridioides difficile
Lineage: Bacteria; Bacillati; Bacillota; Clostridia; Peptostreptococcales; Peptostreptococcaceae
Description: partial 23S ribosomal RNA
Rfam family: Bacterial large subunit ribosomal RNA
Source: RNAcentral